UACGAAGGGUGCGAGCGUUAAUCGGAAUUACUGGGCGUAAAGAGCACGUAGGCGGUUUGAUAAGCGGAAUGUGAAAGCCCCGGGCUUAACCUGGGAACUGCAUUCCGAACUGUCAGGCUAGAGUAUGAUAGAGGUGAGCGGAAUUUCCUGUGUAGCGGUGAAAUGCGUAGAUAUAGGAAGGAACAUCAGUUGCGAAGGCGGCUCACUGGAUCAAUACUGACGCUGAGGUGCGAAAGCGUGGGCAGCGAACAGG
RNAcentral lists this ribosomal RNA (253 nucleotides) under uncultured bacterium. Its description in RNAcentral is "partial 16S ribosomal RNA". It matches the Rfam family "Bacterial small subunit ribosomal RNA", at positions 524 to 776 of the family's 1533-position model. The record is from RNAcentral.